AUGGUCAGUUGCAUCAACCCUUACUCAAAAUAAAAUUAAACGACUUGUUAAAUUAGUACGUGGGAUAGCAGUAUCCAUUUAUGUUAUUUAUUUAUUUCUUGCAUUCCUGCUAGUACCUUGGCAUGAUGAUGACAUUCAAACAUAUCCACUAAUAAAUUUUGUUGAAUAUUAUUUAAAAAUUCCAAGAUUAAUUAACAUAAUAAUAGUAACGGUAGUGACAGUUUGUUCUUCAAUUGUUCUGUUGGGAUUUGUUUUGCUUGCUGUAUAUUACUGUGUACAAUUAAUAUUUCAAAUUUAUAUAUGCCAGGACUUUAUUGAGAAUAUGUCAGAAAAUUAUGAAAUAAAUUUUUCUUUAAAGAGUAAUUCUAGAUUUCAAAAGGAAAUUGAAGAAAAACUAUUAAGGCUCAUUAAACUCCAUGUCGUUUUAAGACAGUAGGUAUAUACCAAACUACAAAUAAAAUAUAUGAAGACAAUUUUAUAUUCCAGACUUAACUUUACAGUUAACGACAGUGUAUCCAAAAUUGCCAUCCCUUUCUUUCUUUCAGCAGUAAUUAUUCCACCAUCAGCAAUUAUUUACCUUUCAGUUAUGGAGAAGAACUAUUUAAAUUGUUUUAGAUUUAUAUCUGCUUUUGUUGGAAUUAUGUACACCCUCUUCAUAGUUUGUUAUUGGGGGCAAAAAAUGACAGAUGAACACGAAAAGUUUUAUUACCAAUGUUUUGGAGCGGACUGGAUUUAUUGGAACGAAAAAAACUUAAAACUCUAUAACAUGCUUUUGUUACACAGUCAAUCAUACUUUUUGGUUGACUGCAGAGGAUUGGUAAAUG
Molecule: long non-coding RNA, 824 nt
Organism: Aethina tumida (small hive beetle)
Lineage: Eukaryota; Metazoa; Arthropoda; Insecta; Coleoptera; Nitidulidae
Exons: 3
Source: RefSeq, a predicted model, not a curated record